Molecule: long non-coding RNA, 482 nt
Filed under: Gallus gallus (chicken)
Lineage: Eukaryota; Metazoa; Chordata; Aves; Galliformes; Phasianidae
Source: RNAcentral
AGCAGCACUAUCAUAUUUCUCCUUCAGGGCAUCGCCUACCUUGCGGAAAUCAGCAAGCUGAAGCCAACAGGUCUUCAGGCUACAGGAACCAGAGACACCAUGGCACUUACAGGCCACGUCAGCCAGGUUGUACACAGUUCUCCUCCCAGCCUCAUUGUUGUGUAGGUUCAUCAUGAUCCGGGCGCUCUCGUAGGAGCCUCUCUGGUAAACUCUCUCCCGUUCCCGGGCGUCAACAAACUCCUUGGCAAAGCGGUAUCCGUACUCGAUGUUGUCCCCGCAGCCGCCCCACAGCCAGUCCCGGGGCAGGUCCUUGGGCCGCGCGGCCCGGCUGCAGCCACAAGAGGAGAGCUCACCCUCCCGGCACGCCCGGCUCAUGGCGUUGACCACCCCGGCCGCGCUCACUGCGUAGGUGAACGCCGUCUCCCGGCUGCCUGUGUGGAAAGAGGAGGUGUAUUACAGGAAGGCCCGGGUGCGCUGUCCCA